Pan troglodytes (chimpanzee) is the source of this 6033-nucleotide RNA transcript. It is a transcript of the gene named serine/threonine-protein phosphatase 4 regulatory subunit 1, with no coding region annotated. Lineage: Eukaryota; Metazoa; Chordata; Mammalia; Primates; Hominidae. The transcript has 20 exons. The record is from RefSeq and is a predicted model, not a curated record.
GCUGAGAGGGCGGGGCCGGCCGGCCGGCGCGGAUCGGGGGCGGGGCCCGAAGCCGACGGCCCCGCCCCUGUCUACAGGGCCCCGCCCCUGUCUACAGGGCCCCGCCCCUGUCUACAGGGCCCCGCCCCUGUCUACAGGGCCCCGCCCCUGUCUACAGGGCCCCGCCCCUGUCUACAGGGCCCCGCCCCUGUCUACAGGGCCCCGCCCCUGCCGGUCCCGCCUCCAUGCCCAUCCCAAGAUGGCGGAGAUCCCCCUGUACUUUGUGGACUUGCAGGAUGACUUAGACGACUAUGGAUUUGAAGACUAUGGUACAGAUUGCGACAACAUGAGAGUAACGGCCUUCUUGGACAUUCCAGGCCAGGAUAACCUGCCUCCACUCACUCGCCUGGAGAAGUAUGCUUUCAGCGAGAACACCUUCAACCGGCAGAUUAUUGCCAGAGGGCUGCUUGAUAUCUUCCGGGACUUCAGUAACAAUGAAGAAGACUUCCUCACGGUAAUGGAGAUUGUAGUCAGAUUGUCAGAAGAUGCAGAGCCCACAGUGCGGACUGAGCUGAUGGAACAGAUUCCUCCUAUUGCCAUUUUUUUACAAGAAAACAGAUCAAAUUUUCCAUUGGUGCUCUCUGAAUAUCUCAUACCUAUUAUAGUGAGGUACCUCACAGAUCCAAACAAUCAGGUGAGAAAAUCAAGUCAGGAAGUGCUCUUGAUUCUUCUGGAACAAGACCUAAUUUUCCAGCAUGAUAUUGAAAACAAAGUGUGUCCCAUUCUCCUGCAGCUCUCUGCCCCAGACAGUGAUGACGAAUAUAAAGCAGAAGCUGUGAGCAUAAUCUGCAAAAUGGCUUCAAUGCUGAGUAAGAGUACUGUUGAACGCCUGCUACUCCCCCGAUUCUGUGAACUGUGUGGUGACGGGAAGCUCUUUCAAGUUCGGAAGGUUUGUGCUGCAAAUUUUGGUGAUAUUUGUCAUGCUGUUGGACAAGAAGCCACUGAGAAAUUUUUGAUCCCAAAGUUCUUUGAGCUCUGCUCUGAUGCUGUUUGGGGCAUGCGGAAAGCCUGUGCAGAAUGCUUCACGGCUGUGUCGCACAGCUCCUCCCCUGGGGUCCGCAGAACCCAGCUCUCCCCGCUCUUCAUCAGACUUGUCAGCGACCCCUGCCGAUGGGUGCGCCAGGCUGCCUUCCAGUCCCUCGGCCCCUUCAUUUCCACCUUUGCAAACCCCUCCAGGGCUGGCCUUUGUCUUCGAGAGGAUGGCGCCCUGAGCAUCUGGCCACUCACCCAGGAUUUGGACUCUGGUUUUGCCUCUGGCUCACCUGCUCCCAGCAGUGGUGGUAACACUUCCCCUGCCAGUUUAACUCGUUCAGCAAAGCCUGUGCGGAGGGAGCCAGAGGUACCUGUGGAAGGGACCUCAGCGAAAACCAGAGAUUGCCCACACAGCAGUAGCUCCUCUGACGGCCCAGCGGAAAGCCCUGUGGAAAGCAGUGUGUCGGCUGGAGCUGAGUGGACCAGGCUUUCUCCAGAGACCAGCGCCUUCUCAAAGCUUUCUGACAUCAACGACCUCCCCAUCAGCAGCUACCCUGGAUCCGAUUCCUGGGCCUGCCCAGGGAACACUGAGGAUGUGUUCAGUCAUUUUCUUUAUUGGCGAACUCCUCUCCCUGACAUAAGCAAGGACUUAGAGCUGCUUCUGAGUGAGGCUGGGCCUCAGGAGGACGACUGCAGCAGACCUGGGGUUGUGCACAACAGCUGUGUGGCCCGGAGUGAGAUUCAGAAAGUCCUUGAUAGCUUGCAGGAGCAUCUGAUGAAUGAUCCAGAUGUUCAAGCUCAAGUUCAGGUAUUAUCCGCUGCACUGAGAGCUGCACAGCUCGACUGCGUGAAUGAGGCUGAGAGCAAGCCAACAGCAGGCCUAAAGGAAGUGUCCAUUUCACAUCCCAGCUCUGCCUCUGACAAUCAGAUCGCUCUGGCAGCCUCAUCAUCUCAGAAUGAGCUCUUUGUGGCCAGGAUAUUACAAAGCCCAGAUCCAGGUGGACCCAGAAAUGGAACCAGUGACCAUCUGGAGACUGACCAGAGGCAGGAUCCCACCCCACUUGAAGAGAAUAAAUCUAAAUUACAGGAUGUAAUACCUCAGCCGCUGCUAGAUCAGUAUGUGUCCAUGACUGACCCAGCUCGAGCCCAGACUGUCGAUACUGACAUAGCCAAACACUGUGCCUACAGCCUCCCAGGGGUGGCACUGACCCUGGGCAGGCAAAAUUGGCACUGCCUGAAAGAUACAUAUGAAACACUGGCUUCUGAUGUACAGUGGAAGGUACGGCGAACCCUAGCCUUCUCCAUUCACGAGCUGGCUGUGAUUCUUGGGGAUCAGUUAACAGCAGCUGACCUGGUGCCUAUCUUCAAUGGAUUUUUAAAGGAUCUGGAUGAAGUGCGAAUAGGAGUUCUUAAACACCUGUAUGAUUUUCUAAAGUUGCUUCAUGAAGACAAGAGGAGAGACUAUCUUUAUCAGCUUCAAGAAUUUGUAGUGACUGAUAACAGCAGGAAUUGGAGGUUUCGAUAUGAACUAGCAGAACAGCUGAUACUGAUUCUGGAACUCUAUAGUCCCAAUGAUGUUUAUGAUUACCUAAUGCACAUUGCCUUAAAGUUGUGUGCAGAUCAAGUUUCUGAAGUUCGGUGGAUCUCCUUCAAACUAGUCGUGGCAAUUCUGCAGAAGUUCUAUUCCAACAGUGAAAGUGCAUUGGGGUUAAAUUUCAUCAAUGAGCUCAUCAUAAGGUUCCGGCACUGUUCUAAGUGGGUUGGAAGGCAAGCUUUCGCUUUCAUUUGUCAGAUUCUGAAAUGACUUCUUUGGGAUUAAAGAAGUGUAUGUUUCUAGAAGACUGCUGGAAAACAUCAUUUCUUUGGCUGUGACUUUCUUGGAGCAGGCAGUGGUGAGCAAGGAGUGUGUCCCCGUGGACCAGUUCGUGGAGCACCUGCUUCCCAGCCUCCUGAGCCUCGCAUCAGAUCCUGUGCCCAACGUGAGGGUUCUGCUAGCCAAGGCCCUAAGGCAGAUGCUGUUGGAAAAGGCGUAUUUUAGAAAUGCCGGUAACCCUCAUCUUGAAGUCAUUGAAGAGACCAUCUUAGCAUUGCAGUCAGACCGGGACCAAGAUGUUUCCUUUUUUGCAGCCCUAGAACCAAAGCGGCGGAAUAUCAUAGACACUGCUGUACUAGAAAAACAGAAUUAACUACUCCGUGAUGAGUUGCAAUCUGAUUAUUUCAUGCUUGGCACAUAAGGCUUACCAUAACUUGAAGGGGAACUGAUUGUAUUAUACCAGCUGGGGGAGAUUUUGGAACCUUUCAUACUGUGCACUCAGUGACUGACGCCUUUUCCAUCUGUACCCCGAAGGGACUGAACCUGAUGGGGGCUUUUUCUGGAUGGCUGGGCCAUCCUGAUCAAGCCUGAUCAGUAAGUCUGUGGAAAGAUUGCAGACUAGGUGGCUAACUGGGCACUGGAGCCUCUGAACCAUCAGGCUGUCUGCCAGCAAGUUCUUUUCUCCAUGGCAGACUGUAUGAUCUGAAGUCCCCUCAACCCUCUCCAAGUAAAGUAGUUUAUUAGAAGCUCUUAAGUCUUUAAUAGACCUGCAUAUUUCCUUCCCUUAUGAUUUCCUAUAAAAUAUAGUUUAUGGUGUUAUAUUUUUAACUGAAAUACUGUACAUAUGUAAAUAACUCUUGACAGGAAGAAAAUAUAUUAAUGUAGUAUUUGCCCCCUAUCAGUGAGCUGAACAAAUACAUCAUUUAAAUCUAUGCUGCACUUUGAGUUGCUACAAAUAUGGUUCAAUUUGUUUAUUUUUGAAAAAUGUGAUAAAGAAAUCUAAAGAAUGAUUGAUGGCAGUCUUUCUAAUAUUGUGCCUUUGUUAUAAACUACUUGGAACUUUUCCUCAGGCACUCACUCCUCCCCGCCUGACAGGAACUGUUUCCAUGAAGAUAUGUGUUGGCCUUUGAUAGAGGCAUAAAGCUGAAAGAUUUUUCAUUUUUAUAUGGAUAUGCUGUCAUAUGUUUAAGAACUUGAGAGGGAAAUGGAUAACUGAGGUUUUUCCAUUUUUAUAUGGAUAUGCUAUAUGUUUAAAAACUUGGGAGGGAAAUUGAUAACUGAGAUGCAUGGAUAUUGACUUUAUAUCUAAUGCUUUAGAAUCUUAACCAAAAAAAGGAAAACCUAGUUCUGAUCAGAACCUGCCCACAAGUUCUACGCACCUGUGACUUCGGGGGUCACAUUAUAUACUCUUCAAAUUGACUUAAGCACACAUCACUUAGAUUUCAUGCGUUUCAAAUUUAGACUAAGAGAAAGAUGCUCUAGAAUUUAACCAGGUUUUUUAAAUCAGUAAUUUAAGAUUUUCUAACCAUUUGAACAAAUUUUACAUACAUGUAUGCACAUGUCAUUUUUCGUGUUUCUAUUUUUAUGUUCUCAAAGGUAGGAUAAGGGAAGGAAGGAGGAAACAGCCCAUUUGGGGUUCAAGAGCUAGCUCUGCUAAGGGCUUGUAAGCUAUUUCUAUUCUGCCCUUUGGUCUUUUUCUUGUUUGUCUUGUCUUUAUUUUUAAAUGAAAUUCUUGAAGCUAUGUAUUGAAUUUUCUAGUAUAGAGGAUGUGACUCCCACCUCCAAAUUCCAUUUAACUGAUUCUUUUAAAAGAAAGAUAGGCGUAUAUACACCAUGCCAAAAUAAUAAUAAGGUACAUAUGUGAGAAUUGCAAAUUAUACCCCAGGGUAGCAUUUACGCAGCGUCGGCAAAAAGUGAGUUAAUAAAUCAGAAGCUACAUAUUAAAAAAAAAAUCAGUCAAUCCAUCGUGUGUUUAAUUCUUGCCUAAAGUAAAUGGAGAUAUUGUUUUGCUUUGGUAACCAGGAAUUUUUAAUUUUUUUUUAUUGCCCGCAAAUUGAGAUUGUUUUGUUAAAAUCUGUUGAUCUAGCAGCGAGUAGAAUUAUUCAACUGGAAUCUUGUAUUCUAUUCAGAGCUUAAUUUUCCGUUAAGGAAAAAAAUGAGCUUCAGUUUGUGUUGUGAUGUGUAUAAUUUGCAUGCUGAAUCACAACAUGCUUGGAGAGAUUGUAGAGACUCUUUGGUAAAUAAUCUAACCUUUACAAUUUCCGUUUAUAUGUUAACAUUUUUCUAUAAUAUGAGUGCCUUUCCAAUGCAAAGAUAUUUUUUAUGGCUGUAAUUUCUCUGUAAAAAUAAUUUUUAAGCGUACAUUUUAUUCUUUUUUUUGCAACAACCGAGAUUUUUCCAAGAUUGUUCUGUUUCCCCUUGCCCUCCUAGCUCCCGCCCCCAUCACUUCGGCGCUUGUAUUUUCUAAUUAUUCAUGGGUGCCAUGUUGAGUGUUUGUAAUUUGACCACCACAGGUAAGCUUCCUGUUUACUUGAACACUCAGCCUCAUCUCCGGCGAAUGAAUGGAAAAGCACAGAUGGGUUUCUCCCAGGCAUAGCUCACUCCAAAGGUGUCUUCAUAGAGCCAGCCCAGCCUUUCUCAAGGGAGCAUUUCCCCACUUAAUGUGUUUAUCAGUAUCUUUCUUCCGCCAAGAAUUCAAGAGCAUUUUCAAAAUUGAUAGAUUUUGGUGCAGUUUUGCAAGUUUCCAUGGAAGGCUGUCUCCCACUUCUGGGAUCCACCCCCAAGUCGGGACCAGAUCGGCUGCAGGGAGUCAUGUUUAUGAAAUGGUGGUGGUUUUUUUUUUUUUUUUUUCAUUCAUACUAGAAGUGUUUUUAUAACGAAAAUCUGCACUUUACAACUCUGCAGGCCAUGCAUGCAAUGGUGAUUUACAGCCUUGUUUACGUGUAAUUCCUCCAGGUAAUUUAUCCCAAUUUAUGCAAAGAUCCUAUUUUAAACAGACACGGAGAAGUGGUAACCGUUUCCUAACAGCAGCAAGAAUGCCCCUUCCGUUUGCCUGGUGAAAAGAACUGACAUUAACAGCAGCUUGGAGGCUUCGAGGAGGUGGGGACGUGGCCUGAGCUCGGGACGGGGGGCCCAGUGCCGGUUGUCGGAGCGUGGCCGCCCGGCGAUGUCUCUGUAUUUAUCAAUAAAUCUCCCGGUUGCUCUGGGAA